RNAcentral lists this long non-coding RNA (245 nucleotides) under Dermacentor andersoni. Its description in RNAcentral is "uncharacterized LOC126529218". The record is from RNAcentral. Lineage: Eukaryota; Metazoa; Arthropoda; Arachnida; Ixodida; Ixodidae.
UGAGCUAUAUAAGAGGAACGUAUGUUAUUUUGUAUGCAGAUGCUGCAUGCGUUAUUUUGAGAUCACAAAAUGAUGUUUCAGAUGAACCAUUAUGUACAGCGUGGGUUCCGGCAAACACUGUGGAACAUCUACACCUUAAAUGCCGAGACGCAUUUUUUUCUUUGUGUAAAUCAUGUCAACCACGAGUGUAUUCCUGGGAAAGAAUCACUGCUGUAAGCCACACUACGUAAAAGUGGUCGUAAUGA